UGGGGAAUUUUGGACAAUGGGGGAAACCCUGAUCCAGCCAUCCCGCGUGUGCGAUGAAGGCCUUCGGGUUGUAAAGCACUUUUGGCAGGAGAGAAACGUCAUGGGUUAAUACCCCGUGAAACUGACGGUACCUGCAGAAUAAGCACCGGCUAACUACGUGCCAGCAGCCGCGGUAAUACGUAGGGUGCAAGCGUUAAUCGGAAUUACUGGGCGUAAAGCGUGCGCAGGCGGUUCGGAAAGAAAGAUGUGAAAUCCCAGAGCUCAACUUUGGAACUGCAUUUUUAACUACCGGGCUAGAGUGUGUCAGAGGGAGGUGGAAUUCCGCGUGUAGCAGUGAAAUGCGUAGAUAUGCGGAGGAACACCGAUGGCGAAGGCAGCCUCCUGGGAUAACACUGACGCUCAUGCACGAAAGCGUGGGGAGCAAACAGG
This 429-nucleotide ribosomal RNA is filed under the name Acidobacteriota bacterium. Its description in RNAcentral is "Acidobacteria bacterium partial 16S ribosomal RNA". It matches the Rfam family "Bacterial small subunit ribosomal RNA", at positions 355 to 776 of the family's 1533-position model. Lineage: Bacteria; Pseudomonadati; Acidobacteriota. The record is from RNAcentral.